UACUGGAUUGUGUAACGGUUAGCACAUCAGCCUUUGACACUGAUAGUUCUGGUUCGAAUCCAGAUCCGGUAA
Molecule: transfer RNA, 72 nt
Filed under: Chitinophagaceae bacterium
Lineage: Bacteria; Pseudomonadati; Bacteroidota; Chitinophagia; Chitinophagales; Chitinophagaceae
Description: tRNA-Gln
Rfam family: tRNA
About the family: Transfer RNA (tRNA) molecules are approximately 80 nucleotides in length.
Source: RNAcentral